Molecule: ribosomal RNA, 661 nt
Filed under: Haloarcula saliterrae
Lineage: Archaea; Methanobacteriati; Methanobacteriota; Halobacteria; Halobacteriales; Haloarculaceae
Description: partial 23S ribosomal RNA
Rfam family: Archaeal large subunit ribosomal RNA
Source: RNAcentral
UCCGUACCGAGAACCGACACAGGUGUCCAUAGCGGCGAAAGCUAAGGCCUGUCGGGAGCAACCGACGUUAGGGAAUUCGGCAAGUUAGUCCCGUACCUUCGGAAUAAGGGAUGCCUGCUCCGGAACGGAGCAGGUCGCAGUGACUCGGAAGCUCGGACUGUCUAGUAACAACACAGGUGACUGCAAAUCCGCAAGGACUCGUACAGUCACUGAAUCCUGCCCAGUGCAGGUAUCUGAACACCUCGUACAAGAGGACGAAGGACCUGUCAACGGCGGGGGUAACUAUGACCCUCUUAAGGUAGCGUAGUACCUUGCCGCAUCAGUAGCGGCUUGCAUGAAUGGAUUAACCAGAGCUUCACUGUCCCAACGUUGGGCCCGGUGAACUGUACAUUCCAGUGCGGAGUCUGGAGACACCCAGGGGGAAGCGAAGACCCUAUGGAGCUUUACUGCAGGCUGUCGCUGAGACGUGGUCGCCGACGUGCAGAAUAGGUAGGAGUCGUUACACAGGUACCCGCGCCAGCGGGUCACCGAGACACACGUGAAAUACUACCCGUCGGUGACUGCGACUCUCACUCCGGGAGGAGGACACCGGUAGCCGGGCAGUUUGACUGGGGCGGUACGCGCUCGAAAAGAUAUCGAGCGCGCCCUAAGGUCAUCUCAG